RNAcentral lists this long non-coding RNA (234 nucleotides) under Homo sapiens (human). RNAcentral's name for it is "HSALNT0304349". The record is from RNAcentral. Lineage: Eukaryota; Metazoa; Chordata; Mammalia; Primates; Hominidae.
AGGUAACUUACCCUUGCUAAUGCUCUGAGCUGCCUUUCCCACUGGAAUGUUCCCAGGUGUUCAGAUUUGGAAUCAUUUACUUUUCACCAUUUUGACUUGAGAAUAUAGACCUUUGCGAUAUCAGCAUCAGGAAAGUGGUCUGAGACAUCACACAAGCCUUCCGGAAAGAACCCAUCUGCCUCUUCUGUCUGAACUAAUGUGUAGACCCCAUCGCCACAGGCUGCAGCCCCAGCU